This 567-nucleotide unclassified non-coding RNA is filed under the name Bombus terrestris (buff-tailed bumblebee). Its description in RNAcentral is "misc RNA ENSBTSG00005038600.1". The record is from RNAcentral. Lineage: Eukaryota; Metazoa; Arthropoda; Insecta; Hymenoptera; Apidae.
GAAAUUCGGCGACUCGAAUGCGAUUGACUUGCAACCGGGCUGAACAUCCCCACCACUGCAUAAUUCGCUCGGUGAGACAAACAGCGGCGCGGUGUGGCAUUCGUAGGUCGAAGAUCGCGUCGUUAAAACGUAUCAACUCGCGACAGGUUAUUGGCGUCAGUUAAGAAGACAUAUUGGCGCCAAGAAACAGGAAUUCAAAUAUGGACGCCAUAACGGUCAAAAUUUAAUUUAAUGGUUUUUCAUGGAGAUGGAUAAGUUUAUAUUGCCCUUUCAUUGAAUCAUUGAGAAUGUUCGUGACCAUGUGCAAUGCGGUUGAUAGAGUCAGUGUUUGUAACGCAGUAGUUUUUUCUUAAUAUUCUUUAGAGCACAAUAGCUCUUAUUAAAUUUAAUUGCAAUAGUCAUACGCGAAAUUAGAUUCAUUGUUUGUUCGGCGUUUUAUUUAAACGAGCGUGUUAGUAGUACUUUAUUUUUCUUUUUUUGUUUACACUCCUUUCCAAGUACUAUUCGUUUUCGGCAUUAGAAUCAAUGCUCAAGAGGAUAAAGCCUUUGCCAGGAGUUUAAGAGUAU